UCUCUCUGAAUCUGCGAACGGCUCCGCAAACCAGUUGUAAACUACAGCAAGCAAGCACGGGGGGUUGGCCUUCACGGGUCGGUCCCUCGGGCGAUAUGGAUAACCCUGGUAAUUCUGAGGCUAAUACAAGAACGUAACCCCUGGCUGACUGAGCCCUCGCCCUCGGGUGGGGAUACUUGGGAGGCUGGGAAGCGUGCGAGUACUAAUGCGAAUGAGAACCGGGAAUGGGCGCACGCUUGGACCGCGCUACAAAGGAUCAUUACUCGGCAAUCCCUCCGGGGUGCGCUUUGUUUUGGCCCUAGCGGCUCUUGCGGUGUGCUUCUGACCUAUCAACUAGACGGCAGCGUAACGGACAUGCUAUGGUUACAACGGGUACAGAGGAUUAGGGUUCGAUCCUGGAGAGUGGGCCUGAGAGAUU
This 418-nucleotide ribosomal RNA is filed under the name Lamproderma echinosporum. RNAcentral describes it as "SSU rRNA". It matches the Rfam family "Eukaryotic small subunit ribosomal RNA", at positions 76 to 405 of the family's 1831-position model. Lineage: Eukaryota; Evosea; Eumycetozoa; Stemonitida; Stemonitidae. The record is from RNAcentral.